RNAcentral lists this ribosomal RNA (509 nucleotides) under uncultured bacterium. RNAcentral's name for it is "partial 16S ribosomal RNA". It matches the Rfam family "Bacterial small subunit ribosomal RNA", at positions 28 to 506 of the family's 1533-position model. The record is from RNAcentral.
GACGAACGCUGGCGGCGUGCUUAACACAUGCAAGUCGAACGAAGAGCGACGGAAGCUUGCUUCUAUCAAUCUUAGUGGCGAACGGGUGAGUAACGCGUAAUCAACCUGCCCUUCAGAGGGGGACAACAGUUGGAAACGACUGCUAAUACCGCAUACGAUCUAAUCUCGGCAUCGAGGAUGGAUGAAAGGUGGCCUCUACAUGUAAGCUAUCACUGAAGGAGGGGAUUGCGUCUGAUUAGCUAGUUGGAGGGGUAACGGCCCACCAAGGCGAUGAUCAGUAGCCGGUCUGAGAGGAUGAACGGCCACAUUGGGACUGAGACACGGCCCAGACUCCUACGGGAGGCAGCAGUGGGGAAUCUUCCGCAAUGGACGAAAGUCUGACGGAGCAACGCCGCGUGAGUGAUGACGGCCUUCGGGUUGUAAAGCUCUGUUAAUCGGGACGAAAGACCUUCUUGCGAAUAGUGAGAAGGAUUGACGGUACCGGAAUAGAAAGCCACGGCUAACUACGU